RNAcentral lists this transfer RNA (84 nucleotides) under Felis catus (domestic cat). It matches the Rfam family "tRNA". Rfam says of the family: Transfer RNA (tRNA) molecules are approximately 80 nucleotides in length. Their secondary structure includes four short double-helical elements and three loops (D, anti-codon, and T loops). Further hydrogen bonds mediate the characteristic L-shaped molecular structure. tRNAs have two regions of fundamental functional importance: the anti-codon, which is responsible for specific mRNA codon recognition, and the 3' end, to which the tRNAs corresponding amino acid is attached (by aminoacyl-tRNA synthetases). tRNAs cope with the degeneracy of the genetic code in two manners: having more than one tRNA (with a specific anti-codon) for a particular amino acid; and 'wobble' base-pairing, i.e. permitting non-standard base-pairing at the 3rd anti-codon position. The record is from Rfam by way of RNAcentral. Lineage: Eukaryota; Metazoa; Chordata; Mammalia; Carnivora; Felidae.
GCCUGGGUGGCUCAGUGGUUAAGCGUCCGAUUUCGGCUCAGGUCAUGAUCUCGCGGUUUGUGAGUUCGACCCCCGCCUCAGGCU